CUGGGAAUUUUGCGCAAUGGGGGAAACCCUGACGCAGCAACGCCGCGUGGGUGAUGAAGGCCUUCGGGUUGUAAAGCCCUUUUGUCCGGGACGAAUAAAAUGACGGUACCGGAAGAAAAAGCACCGGCUAACUCUGUGCCAGCAGCCGCGGUAAUACAGAGGGUGCAAGCGUUAUUCGGAAUCACUGGGCGUAAAGCGUACGUAGGCGGUUUGGUAAGUCUGAUGUGAAAUCCCCCGACUUAAUCGAGGAAGUGCAUUGGAAACUACUAGACUAGAGUAUAGGAUGGGAGAACGGAAUUCCUGGUGUAGAGGGGAAAUUCGUAGAUAUCAGGAGGAACAACGGUGGCGAAGGCGGUUCUCUGGACUAUUACUGACGCUGAGUGUACGAAAGCGUGGGGAGCAAACA
RNAcentral lists this ribosomal RNA (406 nucleotides) under uncultured prokaryote. Its description in RNAcentral is "bacterial SSU rRNA". It matches the Rfam family "Bacterial small subunit ribosomal RNA", at positions 355 to 774 of the family's 1533-position model. The record is from RNAcentral.